This 2043-nucleotide long non-coding RNA is filed under the name Gossypium barbadense (sea-island cotton). Its description in RNAcentral is "long non-coding RNA (GBAR_LNC005155)". The record is from RNAcentral. Lineage: Eukaryota; Viridiplantae; Streptophyta; Magnoliopsida; Malvales; Malvaceae.
AUCAACUAGGUAAGUUGUUUCCCCCAUUCUUAGUCCCACUGUAGCCAAGAUGUGUGCCGAUUCAUCAUAUUAGAUGGGGAUUGCUUCUGACCCUCAUGCAUCACUCGAUACCUCUCCAGUCAGAUAGCACAAGCUAACACCUUUCAUUGCUCUCUGGAACCCGUCUCUAUCAAAUAAGUUAUCCAUUCCUUAUACUCUAAAUUGCUCACCUCCUGUAGCCAUGUAAUACCCAACUUGUUCCAAAUUUCUUUUGCAGCUAUACAUUCACGAAAAGCAUGCUUAAGAGUUUCAUCGGCGUUUAAGCAUUUGGGGCCCUCUGUUCUAUUCCCAAGUCUCCUAAUAGCUAGAUUACUUAGAGUAGGAAUAAAUUUGUUAAAACUUUGUUUCCACGCCAACUUUGCUUCUUCUUCUUUUUUAAAUAACUUCUCCAUUCUUGAUUUAUCGCAUAAAUAGUAUAAAAAAAAAAGAGAUUUUUUCUGAUUUUUUUAUCGUAGAUAAUACAAAAUUAAUAUUUGAAUUCCUAAAUGGUAUGUCAAUACCAUUAUUGACCGCAUCCGAACGUAUUAAUGUCUAGAGUAUGAAUACUGUAACAAAAGAUAUAUAAAUGAGGCGAUGUCUACAAGUAUACGAGUCAAGUUAUAAUAUGAUUACAACAAAGUAAGUAAGUACUCCGAGAAUUGUAUUCAAUGGAUUACAAUUUGGGGAAAAUUGUUAUCAAACCAAUUACCGAAAAUAAUUACUAAUCUACUUUUGAGUCAUGAAUUAGUAGUGUUAAUAUGGAAGUAAGAUGAUGAUAAUAUUAAUAAACUAAAUAAAUUUAAUUAAACUUAAAUCUACUCUUAAAUUUAUGUAUCGACUUCUCAUAUCCUUUAUUUCGACUAUACGAGUUCCUUUAGCCUAGAUUCAAUUGUUUCGUCUAAUUAAAUAUUGAUGUAGAGCUCUGAUCAGUCAACUAGUCAUUACCCUAGUAGAAUCUUUCGGUACGUCCACUAGAAUAAUGAGUCGGUAAUAACUACUUAUCUCUCGACCUCACAAUCCAGACUGGUGCAGGGCUAAGGUGUUCAUGGAUAGGCCAUAUCAAUUUUGGGUUAAUUUCCACCUAAAUGACUUCUUAGGGUCAUCAAGCCUAGGUUGAAGUUCUUCCUCUCCCAAACAGCUAAUCCGAUAAGAAAAUCCUACCUUUCAAUCAAUUAAUAAGAUUAAUACAUUUUAAACCUAUGAAAUAUAGAUAAAAUAUAAAUUGAUUAUAAUCUUUACACAAACAUUCAACUAGCAAUGUUAAGAAAGAGAUAUAAAGAAUAGAAUAAGGGAAAGAGAUGCUCAUGGAUUUAUUGAUGAAAGCGUAGCUCUGUUACAAUCUCCACUCCCAAAAGUCUCACUUCGGAAUAGGAUUCUCCGGCUACAAUAAUAUAAAAUAACCUAAGUAAAAACUAAAAACAAAAUAGAAACCUUAAGCAUAUUUUUUGUCUCCCUAAAAUUGUAUGUUUAAGCUGAUUACAAUAGUCUUUAUUUAGGCUAAACUAGAAAUAUUAAAGUGCCUAAAAUAUUCUUGAAGUCCUUAGUUAGUUUGAGAUUUUUAACAACAUUUUUACAUGUUUUAUAUAUUUUGUGUAGAAAAAAUAUUAUUUAAUGUUAUUUGAAUGAAUUAGAUUUAAAGAUCGCAUGUUGAAUUUUUCGUAUGUAUAAUAAAAUAAAAAAAUUAUUUUUGUAAUUGUAAUUUUUUUGUGAACCAAACUAUUUAGUAUUUUUGUAAUGAUAUAAUUUUGAUAUUAUUUUUCUAUUAAGUUGAUUUGCAUUCUUUUGUAUUAUCUUUACAUGUUUUGGUAAUAAUUGAAAAUGUUUAAACUUUAAUUUAUUUUUUUCAAACUGCAGAUAUCCAAGUAGGUUCUUUGAUCACAGAAGAUGAUUACACAACAAAUAAGAUUAAUGUGAUGAUAAUAAAAUUUGUAUAUAUUGACUUUUUUUUAUUUAAUUGUGAUAUAUUAAGUAAUGUAAUAAUUUAAUUGGGAUGUAUUAACUAUUACAGUAAUUUAAUAUGGUCAG